Molecule: long non-coding RNA, 830 nt
Organism: Dalotia coriaria
Lineage: Eukaryota; Metazoa; Arthropoda; Insecta; Coleoptera; Staphylinidae
Exons: 3
Source: RefSeq, a predicted model, not a curated record
AUUCAGACGGCGUUGAGUACGACGAACGUAUUCCAGCCAACUCACUUAACUGACUAAUGGUUUGCCUACAUUUCAUCAGGAAUAAACAAAUUAAAGUUGCACACGGCACGCAACACAUUCGAGCAUCAAUCACACUCUCACAAUUUAACACAUCUGUGGCCGGAUUAUGGUAGAUGACAUUAAGACUAAAUUUUGAAUUUUUCUUUGCAUUUUCUGUACCAACUAUGGACAGCUGAUGUACCACUUACGAAUAAGUCGACUUAAGUCAAAUGUGAGGUUCCUUCGUUGCCCGGUUAAUCAACAAUGAAUUGUUAGAAAAAGCCGAGAAACAGUUAAGUCUGUAAUGUGAAUUUUGAGACAUUCAUUGAGUUUACCCAACCAAGUCAGGAUGAAAAACAGGCUGAUAGCCUAUGCUGUAUAGUGACCAUACAGCCAACAGAAGAAGAAGAAGAAGAAGAAGAAGAAGAGGAGGAACAAGAAGAAGAAGAGGAAGAAGAAGAAGAAGAAGCAGAUGACUUGUUCUGUGGGAGUUUCCUUUCAUAGUUCUAUACAGAAAGGGAUGAUUUCUAUUUCCUGCAAUUUCAUAGCAAAAGACUAGUUGCUUUAAAAUGGCAGCUUAAAUUUCAUCAAUUUGUGAUAAAGAACAGACACUGUCAAUUGUAAGGGCGAUUUUGUUAUAUUUAGUCAGUUUUUAUUUCUAAUACUUGCAUUUAAUUUAUUUUACUCAUUAUUUAUUACUAUUUAAUGUAUUUAUUGUAUUUAUUUUAUUUAUUUACUUAUUACCGCUAUGUAAUGCAUUGUUUUUACAAUAAAUAAUAUUUUUGCAGUAA